GAUUGGAUUUGACAGCGGGUCGGAAUGAUAUGUAAGCACGCAGUGCGCCUGGAGGUGGGCACUUUAAUCUCGGCUUCCAAAGAUUUAACUGGCGAAAACAAGUUUGCUCUCGCUGCCUAAUCGAAGUACAGUAGAUUGGCUUUAUUUCGGCACAAGGUGCUGAAACGAGACAUCACCCAAGAGCUGUUGCUCCGAAGCGUCUUGAUCAGGUGGUGCAGAUACAUCGGAGAUAGUUUGCGUCUGCCUCGCGGCGUGAAUGAAGUUUUUAGAGGAUAAGGUUUAGGUUGGUAGCACCGGUCUUGCCUAAGCUCGAAAACUAAAGCGGUGAUAAGCGUGUAGAAAGCACAUUGUUUCCCUGUUUGGACGAGGGUUCGAGCCCCUCCUGGUCCACC
This 392-nucleotide transfer-messenger RNA is filed under the name uncultured Prevotellamassilia sp. It matches the Rfam family "transfer-messenger RNA". Rfam says of the family: Bacterial tmRNA, also known as 10Sa RNA or SsrA, is named for its dual tRNA and mRNA-like properties. Its role is to liberate the mRNA from a stalled ribosome. The record is from RNAcentral. Lineage: Bacteria; Pseudomonadati; Bacteroidota; Bacteroidia; Bacteroidales; Prevotellaceae.